Molecule: ribosomal RNA, 304 nt
Filed under: uncultured Kocuria sp.
Lineage: Bacteria; Bacillati; Actinomycetota; Actinomycetes; Micrococcales; Micrococcaceae
Description: bacterial SSU rRNA
Rfam family: Bacterial small subunit ribosomal RNA
Source: RNAcentral
CGCCUGGGGAGUACGGCCGCAAGGCUAAAACUCAAAGGAAUUGACGGGGGCCCGCACAAGCGGCGGAGCAUGCGGAUUAAUUCGAUGCAACGCGAAGAACCUUACCAAGGCUUGACAUAACCGGAUCGUUCCAGAGAUGGUUCUUCCCUUUGGGCUGGUGUACAGGUGGUGCAUGGUUGUCGUCAGCUCGAGUCGUGAGAUGUUGGGUUAAGUCCCGCAACGAGCGCAACCCUCGUUCUAUGUUGCCAGCACGUGAUGUGGGACUCAUAGAGACUGCCGGGGUCACUCGGAGAAGUGGGAUGAC